UACGGAGGGUGCAAGCAUUAAUCGGAUUUAUUGGGCGUAAAGGGCGCGUAGGCUGAAUUGUAAGUCAGAUGUGAAAUCCCUGGGCUCAACCCAGGAACUGCAUUUGAAACUACAUUUCUAGAGGGUAGGCGGAGAAAAUGGAAUUCCACAUGUAGCGGUGAAAUGCGUAGAUAUGUGGAGGAACACCAGUGGCGAAGGCGGUUUUCUAGCUUACUCCUGACGCUGAGGCGCGAAAGCAAGGGGAUCAAACAGG
RNAcentral lists this ribosomal RNA (253 nucleotides) under uncultured bacterium. Its description in RNAcentral is "partial 16S ribosomal RNA". It matches the Rfam family "Bacterial small subunit ribosomal RNA", at positions 524 to 776 of the family's 1533-position model. The record is from RNAcentral.